CUGGGCCUCCCAAUGUGGAAGGCUUGAGGACUUUCUCCUCUUUUUCUGGCUGUUCCCAGAAAUCGGGGAGAAGCUGGGUCCGGUGUCUGCAGCUACUGAGCCUCUGUACCCCGAGUCUCCAUCACCCUCAACCCCGGCUCCAAUCCUGAGAGUCACUUCAGAUGUCCUGGAGUGAGGUGGCCAGGUGGCCAGUGGCCCAGAUGAACACCCACUCCUGGAAGGCGGGCUGGCGCUGCUCAUUCAUCCUGGCUCCCAGGGCCAGCUCAGUGCUUGGCACUCAGUGGGCCUUCGGCACAUGCGCCCUUGAGUGAAUGAAUGAAAAGGCUUUGGACUCCGGAUCACUGGUGCCUGCUCAGAUGUAUGCCAACUCAGCCAUUCUUCAUAUCUCAUCACAAGAAGGUGCUGUGGACAUCUCGGUUUUUUAGCAUCUUCUUCCCAUGUUCCUUUCCUGCUCCAUGCUGCCCUGACUGCUGCGGACCCACACCCACCUCCGCCUCCUGGCUCACUCCUUACACUGGACUGUGAGCACAGUGUUCUCUGGGUGCCACCUUCUCCUCCGACCUUGGGCUGACAUCCGAGCUGUGGUCCUUACCUGGGGAGGACUUUCCCCUUUGGUGGACACUGGGCAGUGUCCAGACAGGAUGGGGAGUGUGACAGCGGCUCACAUUUCCCCAGCACUCAUCCCGGGCCAACCAUUGGAUCUACAUCGCGCCAUUCAGUCUUCUCAGCAGCCUACGAAGUGGCUUCUGUUAGCUCUCCAUUUUACAGAUGAGCAAACUGAGACUUCCUUAGUCCAGAGUCAAAAGCAAGCACGUGGGAGUCACAGGGGAUCGAUAUUCAACUUUUAAUAUUGAGAGAAGGAAUUUUUGAGUCUGUAAGGAGGACCAUUGACAUAUGGGGAGUGGACGUACGGCGUCUGUUAAGGGGGAGAGUGGAAAACUCUUCCACUUUUUGGGCUGAACCAAGAGGCCGAAUGCCCAGGAGGAAGACAGGGUGUAGGAAAGUCCAGGUCAGAAAGAAUGAAGACUAGAGUUGGCCUUCUCCACCUCGGGGGAUCGUGGGAGGGAGACAGAGAGGAAGAAACGCAGAGGGAGGUGAGAAGCCAGUGACAUCACCUGUGAGCUGAGUGCCAGCUCAGGGGCCCUGUUGAGAAAGCUAGUGAGGAACAUGGGGGUGGGCAGGGGGCUUCUGCCCCAUUUUUGUUCGAGUUUCUGGGAGGAGACCCCUCGCAGGGGCCCUCCCCAUGUUCUGUGUCAGUCCAGGCCAGGGAGAGCCCGAGUGUGCCCUCUGAGCACCCUCCAUUCUCCUGUGCCAUGGGAAGGAACCAGGGCUUCCAUCUGUACUUAAGGGGGAUUUAGAAGUUAGUGGAGACUCGGGGGGAGGAGGGAGACUCUUGCCGAGGGAGGUUGCUGCCACCGGGGCCAAGUGACCCUUCAGCCAGGAGCCUCUCAUAUUCAGGCUGCCCAGGCUGGACACCGGUCUUGCCCAGGUAAGAGCCCAGGCAGAUCUCAGGGGAGUAGGCAGCACCAGUGAGAGCCUAGUGGGGCUUGGUCAGAGAGGGCAGCAGGCCAUGUUUCGGGGGCCUUGCCUGUGCUCAGAGGACAGAUGCCCAGGACAGGAUCAGGCUGAGCAAGGCUCAACACGUGCCAGGCAGACACGGCCAAGUUCAGACCCACAUCCCUCCCGUGGGGACCAGCCAAGGACACUGUGAGGUCAGGAGCCCUCCAUCCACUCUCCCUUGCCACCUACAAUGCUCCAAAGACAUAGGUGGCAUCUAUAUACCCAGAUGCCAUCUUGGGCAGGAGAAGGGGGGAGGGUGGGCAUUGGAAAGACCAGGCAUUUAUCUAUACGACCAAGUCAUCUCCAAGGGAGCACCUCCUCAGCUCUCUGGGGAGUUACACCUGGACAGACUCAGUCCCUGGACUGGAAGGAGACGGUAAACCACCGGAGGCCGAGAUCUCAUGAACUGACAAGUGUAAGUUUCUCCACCAUCUGUGCGGCGAGGAUGCUUAACGAAAUUCUAGAAAAUAAAGAACUGACACUUCCUUUGCACAUCUGAGUGGAAAUAUAAGCCUGUCACCCUGAUACAUAAUGGCUGUAACAGGUGCACAAUAAAUCCUUGUGGACGAGUGGAGGCAAGCACGGAUAUGCGAGAGGAGGCAGGACGGAUUGCAAGACUUAGCUCCUCCCGAAGACUCCGUUUUGCUUUCCUCAGGGUCUCAGGAGCAAACAAGCCAAAUACACGCAACUAGAACACAAGCGAUUGGUAUUAGAAAAUAACACGCACUAGAGUGU
Molecule: long non-coding RNA, 2295 nt
Organism: Myotis brandtii (Brandt's bat)
Lineage: Eukaryota; Metazoa; Chordata; Mammalia; Chiroptera; Vespertilionidae
Exons: 3
Source: RefSeq, a predicted model, not a curated record